AUUGCGUUCAGGUGACGCGUGUUGCGUUCAGGUGAAGGUAACGUGUCUGUAUUGCGUUCAGGUGACGCGUGUUGCGUUCAGGUGAAGGUAACGUGUCUGUAUUGCGUUCAGGUGACGCGUGUUGCGUUCAGGUGAAGGUAACGUGUCUGUAUUGCGUUCAGGUGACGCGUGUUGCGUUCAGGUGAAGGUAACGUGUCUGUAUUGCGUUCAGGUGACGCGUGUUGCGUUCAGGUGAAGGUAACAUGUCUGUAUUGCGUUCAGGUGAAGCGUGUUGCGUUCAGGUGAAGGUAACGUGUCUGUAUUGCGUUCAGGUGACGCGUGUUGCGUUCAGGUGAAGGUGACGUGUCUGUAUUGCGUUCAGGUGAAGCGUGUUGCGUUCAGGUGAAGGUAACAUAUCUAUAUUGCGUUCAGGUGACGCAUGUUGCGUUCAGGUAAAGGUAACGUGUCUGUAUUGCGUUCAGGUGAAGGUAACGUGUCUGUAUUGCGUUCAGGUGACACAUGUUGCGUUCAGGUGAAGGUAACGUGUCUGUAUUGCGUUCAGGUGAAGCGUGUUGCAUUCAGGUGAAGGUGAUGUGUCUGUAUUGCGUUCAGGUGAAGUUGAUGUGUCUGUAUUGCGUUCAGGUGACGCGUGUUGCGUUCAG
Molecule: long non-coding RNA, 641 nt
Organism: Perca flavescens (yellow perch)
Lineage: Eukaryota; Metazoa; Chordata; Actinopteri; Perciformes; Percidae
Exons: 3
Source: RefSeq, a predicted model, not a curated record